RNAcentral lists this transfer RNA (73 nucleotides) under Geomobilimonas luticola. RNAcentral's name for it is "Geobacter luticola tRNA-Pro". The stretch from base 3 to 63 matches the Rfam family "tRNA", at positions 7 to 64 of the family's 71-position model. From Rfam's summary of the family: Transfer RNA (tRNA) molecules are approximately 80 nucleotides in length. Their secondary structure includes four short double-helical elements and three loops (D, anti-codon, and T loops). The record is from RNAcentral. Lineage: Bacteria; Pseudomonadati; Thermodesulfobacteriota; Desulfuromonadia; Geobacterales; Geobacteraceae.
CGGUAGCGCAGCCUGGUAGCGCACCUGCUUCGGGAGCAGGGGGCCGCUGGUUCAAAUCCAGUCAUCCCGACCA